GCUGGAUGAAACUAAGAAAUAACCCCUUAUGUGCGAAAUUAUAGAAGAUCUCCUUUAAGAUCAAACAAUUCCAUCAAAUUGAGUAUGACUGUAUGUGUGGUAGCAUCUACUAUACCAGGAAUAUCAAUGAACCCCAUUCUUGCAAUUGCUCAGGAUACCCUCUUUUAG
This 168-nucleotide ribosomal RNA is filed under the name Triticum aestivum (bread wheat). Its description in RNAcentral is "partial small subunit ribosomal RNA". Lineage: Eukaryota; Viridiplantae; Streptophyta; Magnoliopsida; Poales; Poaceae. The record is from RNAcentral.